UACGUAGGGGGCAAGCGUUGUCCGGAAUUAUUGGGCGUAAAGAGCGUGUAGGCGGUCCGGUAAGUCGGCUGUGAAAGUCCAGGGCUCAACCCUGGGAUGCCGGUCGAUACUGCCGGACUAGAGUUCGGAAGAGGCGAGUGGAAUUCCCGGUGUAGCGGUGAAAUGCGCAGAUAUCGGGAAGAACACCCGUGGCGAAAGCGGCUCUCUGGAACGGUACUGACGCUGAGACGCGAAAGCGUGGGGAGCGAACAGG
This 253-nucleotide ribosomal RNA is filed under the name uncultured bacterium. RNAcentral's name for it is "partial 16S ribosomal RNA". It matches the Rfam family "Bacterial small subunit ribosomal RNA", at positions 524 to 776 of the family's 1533-position model. The record is from RNAcentral.